AAUAGAUACCCAGGUAGUCCACGCCGUAAACGAUGUCGACUUGGAGGUUGUUCCCUUGAGGAGUGGGCUUCCGGAGCUAACGCGUUAAGUCGACCGCCUGGGGAGUACGGCCGCAAGGUUAAAACUCAAAUGAAUUGACGGGGGCCCGCACAAGCGGUGGAGCAUGUGGUUUAAUUCGAUGCAACGCGAAGAACCUUACCUACUCUUGACAUCCAGAGAACUUAGCAGAGAUGCUUUGGUGCCUUCGGGAACUCUGAGACAGGUGCUGCAUGGCUGUCGUCAGCUCGUGUUGUGAAAUGUUGGGUUAAGUCCCGCAACGAGCGCAACCCUUAUCCUUUGUUGCCAGCGGUCCGGCCGGGAACUCAAAGGAGACUGCCAGUGAUAAACUGGAGGAAGGUGGGGAUGACGUCAAGUCAUCAUGGCCCUUACGAGUAGGGCUACACACGUGCUACAAUGGCGCAUACAAAGAGAAGCGACCUCGCGAGAGCAAGCGGACCUCAUAAAGUGCGUCGUAGUCCGGA
RNAcentral lists this ribosomal RNA (521 nucleotides) under uncultured bacterium. RNAcentral's name for it is "bacterial SSU rRNA". It matches the Rfam family "Bacterial small subunit ribosomal RNA", at positions 777 to 1297 of the family's 1533-position model. The record is from RNAcentral.